This 468-nucleotide ribosomal RNA is filed under the name uncultured bacterium. Its description in RNAcentral is "partial 16S ribosomal RNA". It matches the Rfam family "Bacterial small subunit ribosomal RNA", at positions 38 to 507 of the family's 1533-position model. The record is from RNAcentral.
GGGGGGGGGGGGGGGGGGGCGGGGCGCGGGCAGGUCGAGCGGAAAGGCCCUGCUUUUGUGGGGGGCUCGAGUGGCGAACGGGUGAGUAACACGUGAGUAACCUGCCCUUGACUUUGGGAUAACUUCAGGAAACUGGGGCUAAUACCGGAUAGGAGCUCCUGCUGCAUGGUGGGGGUUGGAAAGUUUCGGCGGUUGGGGAUGGACUCGCGGCUUAUCAGCUUGUUGGUGGGGUAGUGGCUUACCAAGGCUUUGACGGGUAGCCGGCCUGAGAGGGUGACCGGCCACAUUGGGACUGAGAUACGGCCCAGACUCCUACGGGAGGCAGCAGUGGGGAAUAUUGCACAAUGGGCGGAAGCCUGAUGCAGCAACGCCGCGUGCGGGAUGACGGCCUUCGGGUUGUAAACCGCUUUCGCCUGUGACGAAGCGUGAGUGACGGUAAUGGGUAAAGAAGCACCGGCUAACUACGUG